RNAcentral lists this ribosomal RNA (2013 nucleotides) under Triticum aestivum (bread wheat). RNAcentral's name for it is "partial small subunit ribosomal RNA". The record is from RNAcentral. Lineage: Eukaryota; Viridiplantae; Streptophyta; Magnoliopsida; Poales; Poaceae.
AUGGGCGACGCCGCCAACGCCUCCCGUCGGCGUCGGCUGGCCUCAAUUCUCCUCUCCCGGAAACCGCGCUUCACCGACAGCACGAACGAGACCACGGCCACAGUCAUAUCCAGGGAUGGCUUUACCAUGAAGGUCUCCUUCUGGAUGGCCGACCCACCGCAGCUGUCAAUCUUCUCCAUCCACUGCUGCAGUCCCCCUCAUCUGCAAGACCGCCCGUAUUCCGAGUUCUCAGUUUCGCCACGCGUGGUCGGCGUCGGCGCGGAGGGCCGUUUCGUCCUCUUCCGCGCCGUCUUCAACGGCCACUACGCAUCUGAAUAUUUCCUGUACAAGGCUGGUGAGUCGCCGUUGCUCGACCGUAUUCCUUCUCCCGACGAGUAUUGUGAUGACGACCGCGAUGAUCUGCGCGGGGUCAGGGAGUUCGGCAUCCUGCAGCUUGGCAGCCACUAUCUCGUGGCCGCUCUCUGCCUCGCGCCGUCGUCGGAUGACUACCACCUUUGGAUCUACUCGUCCGAGAAAAAGUCCUGGAUCACUAGGACACUGCCCAAUCCAUGUCCUGUGGUCGACAGGAUUAUACCCGAUAAGGUGAUCUCGCUUGGAGAAGGCUUGCUAGGGUGGGUUGAUUUGUCACACGGCCUGCUGAUGUGCGAUUUGGGUCAAGAUCAUGUAAGUUUCAUCCCGUUGCCGGAGCUGUUGCCUGGGAACAGAUACAAACUAAAAUGUCCCAUUCCGCCUACCACCGCAAAGAGAAAGAUAAAACUAGAGGACGAAUCUUUCUUGUGGUUUCGGGAUCUCACAUGCGUUGAUGGCGUGCUCAAAUUUAUUGAGAUGGAGAAUCUUGCUCCUGGAAUCCAGAGCAACAAGGAGGGUAUUGUCUAUGAUUCGGACUUGAUCAUGUCGCUCGAGCGCAAAGAGGAUUGGAAUUCCAAGCAGCUGUCCUUUGGGGGUGCCUGGAGAGCUGUCACAUGGACUCGGACAUUUUCAUCUAACUGUUGGCGCCAGACAUGCGCUGCUGAUGUCGCUGACAUCUUGGUUGACGAGUCUUUGUUGCCCGGGCUGGACAUGACAUUGGGGAACCUCUACUCAGCUUUCCCCAUCCUGAGCCCGGAUGGUGACGAUAUUCUUUAUAUCAAAUCUGUGCUGAAACCUAGUAUUCACGAUGGAUGGGUGGCAGCCGUUGACCUGGGAAACAAGGCAGUGAAAGCAAUUGGAAAGUAUUAUCUUCCGGAUGAUUUUUAUUACGAACUUCGCUAUGACCCUCAACAUCCUUUCUUUGCCUGUACAUUAUCCCGCCAUCUGGAUAUGACUCCAGGCACUGAAGUCUCAGCGUGUCGCAAGAUCCCAGAAGAGGCUAGCAGCUCUGCAAAUCAGCCAAGCAACUCCUCAAUCUGUGUGGGUGAGCUCAAUUCCUGUGAACCAAGGAGCAAAAUCCAAAGGCCUUGGGAAUGGGCUCAGAAAAACAAGCGUGCACGAAAUGCUGUUGGGAGUAUUAUGCAGAACGAUCAUAUUUCCCAGCAGCUUGACGAGAAGGUGCUGGAGCUAGAGCGGGAGAUAGAGCAUGAGCUAGAGCGGAAGAAAGAGCGUAAGACACAACAGCAGUGCUUCAAAAAGUGGGAUGCGCCAUGCUAUCCCCCUGGGCAGUCAUUGUGGCCCCAAAACAAUCUGCCAGCGCGGCAAUACUUCAACAAGCCAGAUGGACCAUGUGGUCCUGGUUAUGCAUCGUUUGCCCCUGUACAUGGUCGUCACAACAACCAGCCACUGUGGCUGCAGCUACCACCAUUAAAACGGCUUUUCACUUAUAGCAGUGAGUUUGGACCUCAUGAGGUACCCCAGCCAUCCUUCAACAAUAGCAGUGGAGCCAGCUACCAUUGGUAUCCACAGCAACUUACUGCCCCCAACUCAUUUGCCUAUGGCGCACACACAGGCUAUGGCAAGUACCAACACCAAUGGGAGAAGCCUCCCAAUACUCUGGAGCUGCCUGUUGCAUCUUGGGAGCAUUCACCUUCUCCUUCGUAG